RNAcentral lists this non-coding RNA (804 nucleotides) under Pongo abelii (Sumatran orangutan). The record is from RNAcentral. Lineage: Eukaryota; Metazoa; Chordata; Mammalia; Primates; Hominidae.
CUGCCAUCUGUGUUUGGAGACUGUGUCCCAGACUUUCGAGCUCACAUUAGUCAUCGCCACAGACGGGACUGGAGUCCUGCCCACUGGAGUCCCAAAGGUCUCUGGUGUUUGUUUUCCACUCUGCAUGCCUGGGUUGGGGGAUGGCAGGGGGAUACAGGUUGUUGGAGUACCUCCCAGCUGGCCGUUUCCUUGGUUCCCUGGGGCUGCCUUGCUUCCUCUCUAGAUCAUCAGUCUCAGCAGAGGAAACCAAAAAUCUCCUCCUCGCCCCGCAACCAUCUUUUGCUGACUGCUAAGCAUCCCUGCUCUGAAACAAUAACUACCAUAAAAGCAAUAGGCUUGUCUUCUCUGUUCUAAGCAUGUACUAUUCAGGUGAUUUAGGGGGAGUAAACAGGCCCAGAGAAAUUAAAUAAUUUGUCUAAGGGUACCGGCUAAUGAGGAUCUGAGCUCAGUUCUAAAUGACCCCAUCACUCCUGCUCUUUUUUAGUCCCCUUUAUAAUUAUUUUAAAAUAACAUUUAAUUAAUUUUCUAUUAUAAAAGGAACACAUGCUCAAACAAAAAACUUAGAAAAUAUAAAAAUGUAUGAAGACAAAACAAAAUAACCCCCAGUAUUAGCAAUGCCAACUUGCCAAGACAAAAAUGUUAACAUUUUUAUUUCUUUUUCUUUUCAAUCUUUACUCUCUGUGUGCACACACACACAUAGGCAAAGUGAAAUCACAUUGUAUAUUCUUUUUUGCUUCUAGCAUUUUCCACUUAGCUAUCUAAUAUUACUAUUUCCUGAUAUCAACAAAUGAUCUUCAAUCCCAU